Molecule: ribosomal RNA, 253 nt
Filed under: uncultured bacterium
Lineage: Bacteria
Description: partial 16S ribosomal RNA
Rfam family: Bacterial small subunit ribosomal RNA
Source: RNAcentral
UACGAAGGGUGCAAGCGUUAAUCGGAAUUACUGGGCGUAAAGGGUGCGUAGGCGGUUAGUUAAGUCUGUUGUGAAAUCCCCGGGCUCAACCUGGGAAUGGCAAUGGAUACUGGCUGGCUAGAGUGUGUCAGAGGAUGGUGGAAUUCCCGGUGUUGCGGUGAAAUGCGUAGAGAUCGGGAGGAACACCUGUGGCGAAGGCGGCCCCCUGGGCCGGCCCUGACACUGAGACGCGAAGGCGUGGGGAGCGAACGGG